GUGUAUGGCCAUACCACCCUGAACACUCCCGAUCUCGUCUGAUCUCAGAAGCUAAGCAGGGUCGGGCCUGGUUAGUACUUGGAUGGGAGACCGCCUGGGAAUACCAGGUGCUGUAGGCU
RNAcentral lists this ribosomal RNA (119 nucleotides) under Peromyscus maniculatus bairdii (prairie deer mouse). Lineage: Eukaryota; Metazoa; Chordata; Mammalia; Rodentia; Cricetidae. The record is from RNAcentral.